Molecule: ribosomal RNA, 398 nt
Filed under: uncultured bacterium
Lineage: Bacteria
Description: bacterial SSU rRNA
Rfam family: Bacterial small subunit ribosomal RNA
Source: RNAcentral
AACGAACGCUGGCGGCGCGCCUAAUACAUGCAAGUCGAGCGAGAAGACGUAGCAAUACGUUUGUAAAGCGGCGAACGGGUGAGGAAUACAUGGGUAACCUACCCUCGAGUGGGGAAUAACUAGCCGAAAGGUUAGCUAAUACCGCGUACGCUCCUUGGACUUCGGUUCAGGGAGGAAAGCGAUACCGUGGGUAUCGCGCUCUUGGAUGGGCUCAUGUCCUAUCAGCUUGUUGGUGAGGUAACGGCUCACCAAGGCUUCGACGGUAGCUGGUCUGAGAGGACGAUCAGCCACACUGGCACUGCGACACGGGCCAGACUCCUACGGGAGGCAGCAGUAAGGAAUAUUGCGCAAUGGGCGAAAGCCUGACGCAGCGACGCCGCGUGGGGGGAUGGAAGGUC